AGCGUACACGGUGGAUGCCCUGGCAGUCAGAGGCGAUGAAGGACGUGCUAAUCUGCGAUAAGCGUCGGUAAGGUGAUAUGAACCGUUAUAACCGGCGAUUUCCGAAUGGGGAAACCCAGUGUGUUUCGACACACUAUCAUUAACUGAAUCCAUAGGUUAAUGAGGCGAACCGGGGGAACUGAAACAUCUAAGUACCCCGAGGAAAAGAAAUCAACCGAGAUUCCCCCAGUAGCGGCGAGCGAACGGGGAGCAGCCCAGAGCCUGAAUCAGUGUGUGUGUUAGUGGAAGCGUCUGGAAAGGCGCGCGAUACAGGGUGACAGCCCCGUACACAAAAAUGCACAUACUGUGAGCUCGAUGAGUAGGGCGGGACACGUGGUAUCCUGUCUGAAUAUGGGGGGACCAUCCUCCAAGGCUAAAUACUCCUGACUGACCGAUAGUGAACCAGUACCGUGAGGGAAAGGCGAAAAGAACCCCGGCGAGGGGAGUGAAAAAGAACCUGAAACCGUGUACGUACAAGCAGUGGGAGCCUCUUAAUGGGGUGACUGCGUACCUUUUGUAUAAUGGGUCAGCGACUUAUAUUCUGUAGCAAGGUUAACCGAAUAGGGGAGCCGAAGGGAAACCGAGUCUUAACUGGGCGUUAAGUUGCAGGGUAUAGACCCGAAACCCGGUGAUCUAGCCAUGGGCAGGUUGAAGGUUGGGUAACACUAACUGGAGGACCGAACCGACUAAUGUUGAAAAAUUAGCGGAUGACUUGUGGCUGGGGGUGAAAGGCCAAUCAAACCGGGAGAUAGCUGGUUCUCCCCGAAAGCUAUUUAGGUAGCGCCUCGUGAAUUCAUCUCCGGGGGUAGAGCACUGUUUCGGCAAGGGGGUCAUCCCGACUUACCAACCCGAUGCAAACUGCGAAUACCGGAGAAUGUUAUCACGGGAGACACACGGCGGGUGCUAACGUCCGUCGUGAAGAGGGAAACAACCCAGACCGCCAGCUAAGGUCCCAAAGUCAUGGUUAAGUGGGAAACGAUGUGGGAAGGCCCAGACAGCCAGGAUGUUGGCUUAGAAGCAGCCAUCAUUUAAAGAAAGCGUAAUAGCUCACUGGUCGAGUCGGCCUGCGCGGAAGAUGUAACGGGGCUAAACCAUGCACCGAAGCUGCGGCAGCGACGCUUAUGCGUUGUUGGGUAGGGGAGCGUUCUGUAAGCCUGCGAAGGUGUACUGUGAGGUAUGCUGGAGGUAUCAGAAGUGCGAAUGCUGACAUAAGUAACGAUAAAGCGGGUGAAAAGCCCGCUCGCCGGAAGACCAAGGGUUCCUGUCCAACGUUAAUCGGGGCAGGGUGAGUCGACCCCUAAGGCGAGGCCGAAAGGCGUAGUCGAUGGGAAACAGGUUAAUAUUCCUGUACUUGGUGUUACUGCGAAGGGGGGACGGAGAAGGCUAUGUUGGCCGGGCGACGGUUGUCCCGGUUUAAGCGUGUAGGCUGGUUUUCCAGGCAAAUCCGGAAAACUAAGGCUGAGGCGUGAUGACGAGGCACUACGGUGCUGAAGCAACAAAUGCCCUGCUUCCAGGAAAAGCCUCUAAGCAUCAGGUAACAUUAAAUCGUACCCCAAACCGACACAGGUGGUCAGGUAGAGAAUACCAAGGCGCUUGAGAGAACUCGGGUGAAGGAACUAGGCAAAAUGGUGCCGUAACUUCGGGAGAAGGCACGCUGAUAUGUAGGUGAAGCGACUUGCUCGUGGAGCUGAAAUCAGUCGAAGAUACCAGCUGGCUGCAACUGUUUAUUAAAAACACAGCACUGUGCAAACACGAAAGUGGACGUAUACGGUGUGACGCCUGCCCGGUGCCGGAAGGUUAAUUGAUGGGGUUAGCGGUAACGCGAAGCUCUUGAUCGAAGCCCCGGUAAACGGCGGCCGUAACUAUAACGGUCCUAAGGUAGCGAAAUUCCUUGUCGGGUAAGUUCCGACCUGCACGAAUGGCGUAAUGAUGGCCAGGCUGUCUCCACCCGAGACUCAGUGAAAUUGAACUCGCUGUGAAGAUGCAGUGUACCCGCGGCAAGACGGAAAGACCCCGUGAACCUUUACUAUAGCUUGACACUGAACAUUGA
RNAcentral lists this ribosomal RNA (2089 nucleotides) under Escherichia coli. RNAcentral's name for it is "bacterial LSU rRNA". It matches the Rfam family "Bacterial large subunit ribosomal RNA", at positions 14 to 2127 of the family's 2925-position model. Lineage: Bacteria; Pseudomonadati; Pseudomonadota; Gammaproteobacteria; Enterobacterales; Enterobacteriaceae. The record is from RNAcentral.